RNAcentral lists this small nucleolar RNA (82 nucleotides) under Parastagonospora nodorum SN15. Lineage: Eukaryota; Fungi; Ascomycota; Dothideomycetes; Pleosporales; Phaeosphaeriaceae. The record is from RNAcentral.
CUGCAAUGAUGAGCGUAUUAUUUCAGUUCUGCUACUGAAUUCUCUUGAAGAAAAUUUAUACCAGCUUACCUUUUUCUGAUAU